This 492-nucleotide ribosomal RNA is filed under the name uncultured bacterium. RNAcentral's name for it is "partial 16S ribosomal RNA". It matches the Rfam family "Bacterial small subunit ribosomal RNA", at positions 29 to 507 of the family's 1533-position model. The record is from RNAcentral.
AGUGAACGCUGGCGGUAGGCCUAACACAUGCAAGUCGAACGGCAGCACAGUAAGAGCUUGCUCUUACGGGUGGCGAGUGGCGGACGGGUGAGGAAUACAUCGGAAUCUACUUUUUCGUGGGGGAUAACGUAGGGAAACUUACGCUAAUACCGCAUACGACCUACGGGUGAAAGCAGGGGAUCUUCGGACCUUGCGCGAUUGAAUGAGCCGAUGUCGGAUUAGCUAGUUGGCGGGGUAAAGGCCCACUAAGGCGACGAUCCGUAGCUGGUCUGAGAGGAUGAUCAGCCACACUGGAACUGAGACACGGUCCAGACUCCUACGGGAGGCAGCAGUGGGGAAUAUUGGACAAUGGGCACAAGCCUGAUCCAGCCAUACCGCGUGGGUGAAGAAGGCCUUCGGGUUGUAAAGCCCUUUUGUUGGGAAAGAAAAGCAGCAGGUUAAUACCCCGCUGUUCUGACGGUACCCAAAGAAUAAGCACCGGCUAACUUCGUG